Molecule: non-coding RNA, 331 nt
Organism: Vicugna pacos (alpaca)
Lineage: Eukaryota; Metazoa; Chordata; Mammalia; Artiodactyla; Camelidae
Source: RefSeq, a predicted model, not a curated record
UUCAAAAAAGAGAAAUAUUUAAAAUUUCAGAGGUAAAAGGGAAACUCAAUGUCAUUUAGUCACCCUGGGUUUCACCUUGGGAAAUCCAAAGUAGGCUUCAAAGGACUACGAACUACCCAAAAUUGUUCACAGAAUUUUAUAUACACGUAUAUUUUUAUGGGAAGAAGGUCCAACCAUAGCUUUUAAAAGAUUCUCAAAAAGAUCUGUGAUUCAAACUUUUUCUGUAAACAUCCAAGUCUGGAUUAGGUUCCUCCCCUAAAGUUAGGCCCCACAGCACUCUAUACAUUCAUCAUCAUACUGCACUGCACUGCACUGCACUGCACUGCACUCA